RNAcentral lists this ribosomal RNA (744 nucleotides) under uncultured bacterium. Its description in RNAcentral is "bacterial SSU rRNA". It matches the Rfam family "Bacterial small subunit ribosomal RNA", at positions 8 to 796 of the family's 1533-position model. The record is from RNAcentral.
AGAGUUUGAUCCUGGCUCAGAACGAACGCUGGCGGCAGGCCUCAAACAUGCAAGUCUAGGGGGUGUAGCAAUACAUCACCGGCGGACGGGUGCGUAACGCGUGGGAAUGUACCUAUUGGUUCGGAACAACUGAGGGAAACUUCAGCUAAUACCGAAUGUGUCCUUACGGAGAAAGAUUUAUCGCCAAUAGAUCAGCCCGCGUCCGAUUAGCUAGUUGGUGGGGUAAUGGCCCACCAAGGCUCCGAUCGGUAGCUGUUCUGAGAGGAAGAUCAGCCACACUGGGACUGAGACACGGCCCAGACUCCUACGGGAGGCAGCAGUUGGGAAUCUUGGACAAUGGGGGAAACCCUGAUCCAGCCAUGCCGCGUGAGUGAUGAAGGCCUUCGGGUUGUAAAACUCUUUCGCGCACGACGAUAAUGACGGUAGUGCGAGAAGAAGCUCCGGCUAACUUCGUGCCAGCAGCCGCGGUAAUACGAAGGGGGCUAGCGUUGUUCGGAAUUACUGGGCGUAAAGCGCGCGCAGGCGGCUAUCCAAGUCAGUGGUGAAAGCCCGGAGCUCAACUCCGGAACUGCCAUUGAAACUGUUUAGCUUGAGUAUGAGAGAGGUGAGUGGAAUUCCCAGUGUAGAGGUGAAAUUCGUAGAUAUUGGGAAGAACACCGGUGGCGAAGGCGGCUCACUGGCUCAUUACUGACGCUCAGGCGCGACAGCGUGGGGAUCAAACAGGAUUAGAUACCCUAGUAGUCC